RNAcentral lists this ribosomal RNA (253 nucleotides) under uncultured bacterium. RNAcentral describes it as "partial 16S ribosomal RNA". It matches the Rfam family "Bacterial small subunit ribosomal RNA", at positions 524 to 776 of the family's 1533-position model. The record is from RNAcentral.
UACGGAGGGUGCAAGCGUUAUCCGGAUUUACUGGGUUUAAAGGGUGCGUAGGUGGGCAAGUAAGUCAGUGGUGAAAUCUUCGAGCUUAACUCGGAAACUGCCAUUGAUACUAUUUGUCUUGAAUACUUUGGAGGUAAGCGGAAUAUGUCAUGUAGCGGUGAAAUGCUUAGAUAUGACAUAGAACACCAAUUGCGAAGGCAGCUUACUACACAGUUACUGACACUGAGGCACGAAAGCGUGGGGAUCAAACAGG